Long non-coding RNA from Mytilus californianus (California mussel), 468 nucleotides. RefSeq lists it as uncharacterized. Lineage: Eukaryota; Metazoa; Mollusca; Bivalvia; Mytilida; Mytilidae. The record is from RefSeq and is a predicted model, not a curated record. The transcript has 2 exons.
GUAGUUCAACAUCUUCCCAGUCUAAAAGAUCUUCAAGUUCAUGCAGCAUACAGCCAACACCCAAGACGAAGAAAACAGCUGAAGAUGUUUAUGCAUUACAAUGUGCAGUUCUUGAAAAAUAACUAGAGAAGUACAUACUUCAAGUAGAUCUCUUAAAAAAAUUGCUUGGCAAAUAUGACAAUUUAGAUUCUGAUGCCCUGGAACUACUGUCAGUUUUGGGGCAGUGAUUGUUAAAACAUUAGAAAACUUUUCAAGUUGUUUAAUAUUUAAAUGUUUUGAAUCUAUUUACUUUAAUGUUUGACUUUUUUAAUUGCUUUUUCCAAAAUACCAUUUUUAUUACAAAAUCCAUUUAUUAAAAUGCUGCAUAUAUUAUAUUGAUUUAUUUUUUCUAUUACAUGUACCACAUAUUGUAUUUAAUUCUUUUUAAUUGAAAUUGAUGAUUAUCUUAUAAAUGAAGACAGCUAGCAA